AGACCGCCUGGGGAGUACGGCCGCAAGGUUAAAACUCAAAUGAAUUGACGGGGGCCCGCACAAGCGGUGGAGCAUGUGGUUUAAUUCGAUGCAACGCGAAGAACCUUACCUGGUCUUGACAUCCACAGAACUUUCCAGAGAUGGAUUGGUGCCUUCGGGAACUGUGAGACAGGUGCUGCAUGGCUGUCGUCAGCUCGUGUUGUGAAAUGUUGGGUUAAGUCCCGCAACGAGCGCAACCCUUAUCCUUUGUUGCCAGCGAUUAGGUCGGGAACUCAAAGGAGACUGCCAGUGAUAAACUGGAGGAAGGUGGGGAUGACGUCAAGUCAUCAUGGCCCUUACGACCAGGGCUACACACGUGCUACAAUGGCGCAUACAAAGAGAAGCGACCUCGCGAGAGCAAGCGGACCUCAUAAAGUGCGUCGUAGUCCGGAUUGGAGUCUGCAACUCGACUCCAUGAAGUCGGAAUCGCUAGUAAUCGUGGAUCAGAAUGCCACGGUGAAUACGUUCCCGGGCCUUGUACACACCGCCCGUCACACCAUGGGAGUGGGUUGCAAAAGAAGUAGGUAGCUUAACCUUCGGGAGGGCGCUUACCACUUUGUGAUUCAUGACUGGGGUGAAGUCGUAACAAGGUAACCGUAGGGGAACCUGCGGUUGGAUCACCUCCUUACCUUAAAGAAGC
Molecule: ribosomal RNA, 679 nt
Filed under: Salmonella enterica subsp. enterica serovar Virchow
Lineage: Bacteria; Pseudomonadati; Pseudomonadota; Gammaproteobacteria; Enterobacterales; Enterobacteriaceae
Description: bacterial SSU rRNA
Rfam family: Bacterial small subunit ribosomal RNA
Source: RNAcentral